This 511-nucleotide ribosomal RNA is filed under the name uncultured bacterium. Its description in RNAcentral is "bacterial SSU rRNA". It matches the Rfam family "Bacterial small subunit ribosomal RNA", at positions 173 to 674 of the family's 1533-position model. The record is from RNAcentral.
ACCAUAGUUACCGCAUGGUAACUAUGUAAGAGGUGGCUAUGCUACCGCUUUUGGAUGGGCCCGCGGCGCAUUAGCUAGUUGGUGGGGUAAAGGCUUACCAAGGCAAUGAUGCGUAGCCGAACUGAGAGGUUGAUCGGCCACAUUGGGACUGAGACACGGCCCAAACUCCUACGGGAGGCAGCAGUAGGGAAUCUUCCACAAUGGGCGAAAGCCUGAUGGAGCAACGCCGCGUGGGUGAAGAAGGUCUUCGGAUCGUAAAACCCUGUUGUUAGAGAAGAAAGUGCGUGAGAGUAACUGUUCACGUUUCGACGGUAUCUAACCAGAAAGCCACGGCUAACUACGUGCCAGCAGCCGCGGUGAUACGUAGGUGGCAAGCGUUAUCCGGAUUUAUUGGGCGUAAAGGGAACGCAGGCGGUCUUUUAAGUCUGAUGUGAAAGCCUUCGGCUUAACCGGAGUAGUGCAUUGGAAACUGGGAGACUUGAGUGCAGAAGAGGAGAGUGGAACUCCAUGU